GACGAACGCUGGCGGCGUGCUUAACACAUGCAAGUCGAACGGAGUUAAGGAGCUUGCUUCUUAACUUAGUGGCGAACGGGUGAGUAACGCGUGAGGAACCUGCCUUUCAGUGGGGGACAACAGUCGGAAACGGAUGCUAAUACCGCAUAUUUCUAAUCGUCUCCUGACGAAUGGAAGAAAGGUGGCUUCGGCUACCGCUUAUGGAUGGACCCGCGGCGUAUUAGCUAGUUGGUGAGGUAAUGGCUCACCAAGGCGAUGAUACGUAGCCGACCUGAGAGGGUGAUCGGCCACACUGGGACUGAGACACGGCCCAG
Molecule: ribosomal RNA, 314 nt
Filed under: uncultured bacterium
Lineage: Bacteria
Description: bacterial SSU rRNA
Rfam family: Bacterial small subunit ribosomal RNA
Source: RNAcentral